This 496-nucleotide long non-coding RNA is filed under the name Monodelphis domestica (gray short-tailed opossum). RNAcentral describes it as "lncRNA (ENSMODG00000043688.1)". The record is from RNAcentral. Lineage: Eukaryota; Metazoa; Chordata; Mammalia; Didelphimorphia; Didelphidae.
CCUGGCCUCUGAAGACUUCUUAUCUGUCCUUUUGAUAAGAUUAAGGCAGGGCCCAGUUGAUCUGCAGAGCUGGAUGUGCCCUGAGGCCAAAACCUGAGAAGGGAGGGGGGCCAAGAGUAUUCUGGCUGCUACUAGGCUGCUUUCUCUGAGCUUCUCCUCCAGCUGCCUCCCUGACGCCUGUGUUGAAUGUCCUGAGCCUGGCACCGCUGUGACUGCAAGUGGAUUUGUGAUCUCCCUGAUAUGGUCAUUCUCUUCAACUGAACAGACUGAAGCCCGUCCAUACCAAGCUUCCUUUGUGAUCCUCAUUCAUUUAUUCAUCAUCUGGCUUGGGUAAAGAAUCCAUUACUUUCCAAUGAUGUGAUUUUCUGAUCUUUAGUGAUCUGAAAGAGCCCAUAAUUGGGUCUGGAGUCUAUUAGGAUUAUUUAGAAAAAACAUCAAGAGGUGAGGAACAUCAGGGACAAGAGAGGAGGCUGCUACUGAAACCUAAUGAUUAGGA